This 83-nucleotide transfer RNA is filed under the name Oryctolagus cuniculus (rabbit). It matches the Rfam family "tRNA". From Rfam's summary of the family: Transfer RNA (tRNA) molecules are approximately 80 nucleotides in length. Their secondary structure includes four short double-helical elements and three loops (D, anti-codon, and T loops). Further hydrogen bonds mediate the characteristic L-shaped molecular structure. tRNAs have two regions of fundamental functional importance: the anti-codon, which is responsible for specific mRNA codon recognition, and the 3' end, to which the tRNAs corresponding amino acid is attached (by aminoacyl-tRNA synthetases). tRNAs cope with the degeneracy of the genetic code in two manners: having more than one tRNA (with a specific anti-codon) for a particular amino acid; and 'wobble' base-pairing, i.e. permitting non-standard base-pairing at the 3rd anti-codon position. The record is from Rfam by way of RNAcentral. Lineage: Eukaryota; Metazoa; Chordata; Mammalia; Lagomorpha; Leporidae.
GGUGCUGUGGAGAAGUCGGUUAACGUCCUGGCCUGAAGAGCCGGCAUCCCAUAUGGGUGCAGGUUCUAGUCCCGUCUGCUCCU